RNAcentral lists this ribosomal RNA (261 nucleotides) under uncultured bacterium. RNAcentral describes it as "partial 16S ribosomal RNA". It matches the Rfam family "Bacterial small subunit ribosomal RNA", at positions 57 to 305 of the family's 1533-position model. The record is from RNAcentral.
GCAAGUCGAACGAGAAAGCAUCCUUCGGGGUGUGAGUAAAGUGGCGAACUGGUGAGAAACAGGUGGGUAAUGUGCCUUUUGGUGGGGGAUAGCCAUCGGAAACGAUGGGUAAUACCGCAUAAGACUCAAGAAUCGAUGGUUUUUUGAGUGACAGGUGCGCUUCGCGCGUGCCGCCGAAAGAGCAGCCCGCCCCCGAUUAGCUAGUUGGUAAGGUAAUGGCUUACCAAGGCUACGAUCGGUAGGUGGCCUGAGAGGGUGGGC